Molecule: ribosomal RNA, 110 nt
Filed under: uncultured eukaryote
Lineage: Eukaryota
Description: partial small subunit ribosomal RNA
Rfam family: Eukaryotic small subunit ribosomal RNA
Source: RNAcentral
UCGCACCUACCGAUUGAAUGGUCCGGUGAGGACUCGGGAUUGUGGUUUGGCUCCUUCAUUGGGGCCUGACUGUGAGAACUUGUCCGAACCUUAUCAUUUAGAGGAAGGUG